This 82-nucleotide transfer RNA is filed under the name Chlamydiae bacterium RIFCSPHIGHO2_01_FULL_44_39. RNAcentral's name for it is "tRNA-Leu". It matches the Rfam family "tRNA". From Rfam's summary of the family: Transfer RNA (tRNA) molecules are approximately 80 nucleotides in length. Their secondary structure includes four short double-helical elements and three loops (D, anti-codon, and T loops). RNAcentral also lists the same sequence under 7 other names. Lineage: Bacteria; Pseudomonadati; Chlamydiota. The record is from RNAcentral.
GCCCAGAUGGUGAAAUUGGUAGACACGCCAGAUUUAGGUUCUGGUGCCGCGAGGUGUGUAGGUUCGAGUCCUAUUCUGGGCA